CACGUAGUUAGCCGGGGCUUCUUGGUCGGGUACCGUCCGCGGCUCUCGCGAGCCGUGUUUCUUCCCCGCUGACAGAGCUUUACGCGCCGAAACGCUUCUUCACUCACGCGGCGUCGCUGCAUCAGGGUUUCCCCCAUUGUGCAAUAUUCCCCACUGCUGCCUCCCGUAGGAGUUUGGGCCGUGUCUCAGUCCCAAUGUGGCCGUCCGCCCUCUCAGGCCGGCUACUGAUCGUCGCCUUGGUGGGCCGUUACCCCGCCAACCAGCUAAUCAGACGCGGGUCCAUCCCGUACCACCGGAGUUUUCAAGAAAGGAACAUGCGUCCCCUUCUGUUAUGCGGUAUUAGCACCUGUUUCCAGGUGUUAUCCCCCGGUACGGGGCAGGUUCCCCACGCGUUACUCACCCGUCCGCCACUAAGGCCCGCGCCUUCCGGGUCUGGUAAACCAUCCCCUUCCGCCGCUGGCCCCCGUUCGACUUGCAUGUGUUAGGCACGCCGCCAGCGUUCAUCCUGAGCCAGGAUCAAACUCU
RNAcentral lists this ribosomal RNA (525 nucleotides) under uncultured Lachnospiraceae bacterium. Its description in RNAcentral is "partial 16S ribosomal RNA". The record is from RNAcentral. Lineage: Bacteria; Bacillati; Bacillota; Clostridia; Lachnospirales; Lachnospiraceae.